GCCUGCAGCCUUGUGUGCUCCACAUCAUGGAAAACAAUGCAACGGGUGGGCUGGUCCCAGCUUGCAUGCAACUCUUCCAUGACCAUCAUCUUACUGAUGAUACUGUGGGUCAGAGUUUCUGAAAGGUCAAACAUUUUGGUAAGCUGGUCCAAGCUCAGAGUAUUAUAGGAUAAUGAGUAGGUAAAAAGGUAGGUCCUCAGAGCCUCUUCCUUUAUCUUCGCCCUCAGCAUCUCAAGGACAUCCUCACGGUUCCUGAGGAGCUUCCAAAAAUCAAGGGACUUGAUAACAUCAAAGGCUUUCUGGAAGUCCCCCUUGCUAAGGGCCCUGGUGGCAGCCAUUAC
RNAcentral lists this long non-coding RNA (341 nucleotides) under Vitis vinifera (wine grape). RNAcentral describes it as "long non-coding RNA (VVIN_LNC002670)". The record is from RNAcentral. Lineage: Eukaryota; Viridiplantae; Streptophyta; Magnoliopsida; Vitales; Vitaceae.